AGGACGAACGCUGGCGGCGUGCUUAACACAUGCAAGUCAAGGGGGCCCAGCAAUGGGCAACCGGCGAACGGGUGCGUAACACGUGAGCAACCUACCGAAAUGUGGGGAUAGCCGGCCUAACGGCCGAGUAAUACCGGCAUACGCUCUCGAUGAGGCAUUUCAUUGAGAGGAAACCUACGGGACAUUUCGAGGGGCUCGCGGCCUAUCAGCUAGUUGGCGAGGUAACGGCUCACCAAGGCAACGACGGGUAGCUGGUACUGACGAGG
This 266-nucleotide ribosomal RNA is filed under the name uncultured soil bacterium. Its description in RNAcentral is "partial 16S ribosomal RNA". It matches the Rfam family "Bacterial small subunit ribosomal RNA", at positions 26 to 299 of the family's 1533-position model. The record is from RNAcentral.